This 460-nucleotide ribosomal RNA is filed under the name uncultured bacterium. RNAcentral describes it as "partial 16S ribosomal RNA". It matches the Rfam family "Bacterial small subunit ribosomal RNA", at positions 338 to 795 of the family's 1533-position model. The record is from RNAcentral.
CCUACGGGGGGCAUCAGUGAUGAAUAUUGGUCAAUGGACGAGAGUCUGAACCAGCCAAGUAGCGUGAAGGAUGACUGCCCUAUGGUUUGUAAAAUUCUUUUAUAUGGGAAUAAAAUGUUCCAUGUGUGUGAUUUUGUAUGUACCAUAUGAAUAAGGAUCGGCUAACUCCGUGCCAGCAGCCGCGGUACUACGGAGGAUCCGAGCGUUAUCCGGAUUUAUUGGGUUUAAAGGGAGCGUAGGUGGAUUGUUAAGUCAGUUGUGAAAGUUUGCGGCUCAACCGUAAAAUUGCAGUUGAAACUGGCAGUCGUGAGUACAGUAGAGGUGGGCGGAAUUCGUGGUGUAGCGGUGAAAUGCUGAGAUAUCACGAAGAACUCCGAUUGCGAAGGCAGCUCACUGGACUGCAACUGACACUGAGGCUCGAAAGUGUGGGUAUCAAACAGGAUUAGAUACCCGAGUAGUC